UUAAGCGACUAAGCGUACACGGUGGAUGCCCUGGCAGUCAGAGGCGAUGAAGGACGUGCUAAUCUGCGAUAAGCGUCGGUAAGGUGAUAUGAACCGUUAUAACCGGCGAUUUCCGAAUGGGGAAACCCAGUGUGUUUCGACACACUAUCAUUAACUGAAUCCAUAGGUUAAUGAGGCGAACCGGGGGAACUGAAACAUCUAAGUACCCCGAGGAAAAGAAAUCAACCGAGAUUCCCCCAGUAGCGGCGAGCGAACGGGGAGCAGCCCAGAGCCUGAAUCAGUGUGUGUGUUAGUGGAAGCGUCUGGAAAGGCGCGCGAUACAGGGUGACAGCCCCGUACACAAAAAUGCACAUGCUGUGAGCUCGAUGAGUAGGGCGGGACACGUGGUAUCCUGUCUGAAUAUGGGGGGACCAUCCUCCAAGGCUAAAUACUCCUGACUGACCGAUAGUGAACCAGUACCGUGAGGGAAAGGCGAAAAGAACCCCGGCGAGGGGAGUGAAAAAGAACCUGAAACCGUGUACGUACAAGCAGUGGGAGCACGCUUAGGCGUGUGACUGCGUACCUUUUGUAUAAUGGGUCAGCGACUUAUAUUCUGUAGCAAGGUUAACCGAAUAGGGGAGCCGAAGGGAAACCGAGUCUUAACUGGGCGUUAAGUUGCAGGGUAUAGACCCGAAACCCGGUGAUCUAGCCAUGGGCAGGUUGAAGGUUGGGUAACACUAACUGGAGGACCGAACCGACUAAUGUUGAAAAAUUAGCGGAUGACUUGUGGCUGGGGGUGAAAGGCCAAUCAAACCGGGAGAUAGCUGGUUCUCCCCGAAAGCUAUUUAGGUAGCGCCUCGUGAAUUCAUCUCCGGGGGUAGAGCACUGUUUCGGCAAGGGGGUCAUCCCGACUUACCAACCCGAUGCAAACUGCGAAUACCGGAGAAUGUUAUCACGGGAGACACACGGCGGGUGCUAACGUCCGUCGUGAAGAGGGAAACAACCCAGACCGCCAGCUAAGGUCCCAAAGUCAUGGUUAAGUGGGAAACGAUGUGGGAAGGCCCAGACAGCCAGGAUGUUGGCUUAGAAGCAGCCAUCAUUUAAAGAAAGCGUAAUAGCUCACUGGUCGAGUCGGCCUGCGCGGAAGAUGUAACGGGGCUAAACCAUGCACCGAAGCUGCGGCAGCGACGCUUAUGCGUUGUUGGGUAGGGGAGCGUUCUGUAAGCCUGCGAAGGUGUGCUGUGAGGCAUGCUGGAGGUAUCAGAAGUGCGAAUGCUGACAUAAGUAACGAUAAAGCGGGUGAAAAGCCCGCUCGCCGGAAGACCAAGGGUUCCUGUCCAACGUUAAUCGGGGCAGGGUGAGUCGACCCCUAAGGCGAGGCCGAAAGGCGUAGUCGAUGGGAAACAGGUUAAUAUUCCUGUACUUGGUGUUACUGCGAAGGGGGGACGGAGAAGGCUAUGUUGGCCGGGCGACGGUUGUCCCGGUUUAAGCGUGUAGGCUGGUUUUCCAGGCAAAUCCGGAAAAUCAAGGCUGAGGCGUGAUGACGAGGCACUACGGUGCUGAAGCAACAAAUGCCCUGCUUCCAGGAAAAGCCUCUAAGCAUCAGGUAACAUCAAAUCGUACCCCAAACCGACACAGGUGGUCAGGUAGAGAAUACCAAGGCGCUUGAGAGAACUCGGGUGAAGGAACUAGGCAAAAUGGUGCCGUAACUUCGGGAGAAGGCACGCUGAUAUGUAGGUGAAGUCCCUCGCGGAUGGAGCUGAAAUCAGUCGAAGAUACCAGCUGGCUGCAACUGUUUAUUAAAAACACAGCACUGUGCAAACACGAAAGUGGACGUAUACGGUGUGACGCCUGCCCGGUGCCGGAAGGUUAAUUGAUGGGGUUAGCCGCAAGGCGAAGCUCUUGAUCGAAGCCCCGGUAAACGGCGGCCGUAACUAUAACGGUCCUAAGGUAGCGAAAUUCCUUGUCGGGUAAGUUCCGACCUGCACGAAUGGCGUAAUGAUGGCCAGGCUGUCUCCACCCGAGACUCAGUGAAAUUGAACUCGCUGUGAAGAUGCAGUGUACCCGCGGCAAGACGGAAAGACCCCGUGAACCUUUACUAUAGCUUGACACUGAACAUUGAGCCUUGAUGUGUAGGAUAGGUGGGAGGCUUGGAAGUGUGGACGCCAGUCUGCAUGGAGCCGACCUUGAAAUACCACCCUUUAAUGUUUGAUGUUCUAACGUUGACCCGUAAUCCGGGUUGCGGACAGUGUCUGGUGGGUAGUUUGACUGGGGCGGUCUCCUCCUAAAGAGUAACGGAGGAGCACGAAGGUUGGCUAAUCCUGGUCGGACAUCAGGAGGUUAGUGCAAUGGCAUAAGCCAGCUUGACUGCGAGCGUGACGGCGCGAGCAGGUGCGAAAGCAGGUCAUAGUGAUCCGGUGGUUCUGAAUGGAAGGGCCAUCGCUCAACGGAUAAAAGGUACUCCGGGGAUAACAGGCUGAUACCGCCCAAGAGUUCAUAUCGACGGCGGUGUUUGGCACCUCGAUGUCGGCUCAUCACAUCCUGGGGCUGAAGUAGGUCCCAAGGGUAUGGCUGUUCGCCAUUUAAAGUGGUACGCGAGCUGGGUUUAGAACGUCGUGAGACAGUUCGGUCCCUAUCUGCCGUGGGCGCUGGAGAACUGAGGGGGGCUGCUCCUAGUACGAGAGGACCGGAGUGGACGCAUCACUGGUGUUCGGGUUGUCAUGCCAAUGGCACUGCCCGGUAGCUAAAUGCGGAAGAGAUAAGUGCUGAAAGCAUCUAAGCACGAAACUUGCCCCGAGAUGAGUUCUCCCUGACUCCUUGAGAGUCCUGAAGGAACGUUGAAGACGACGACGUUGAUAGGCCGGGUGUGUAAGCGCAGCGAUGCGUUGAGCUAACCGGUACUAAUGAACCGUGAGGCUUAACCUU
Molecule: ribosomal RNA, 2904 nt
Filed under: Escherichia coli
Lineage: Bacteria; Pseudomonadati; Pseudomonadota; Gammaproteobacteria; Enterobacterales; Enterobacteriaceae
Description: bacterial LSU rRNA
Rfam family: Bacterial large subunit ribosomal RNA
Source: RNAcentral